AUGGCAUACGAUAUGCUCCAUGAGAUUAGCAAUCAGAAGGAUUCCUGGAAAGUCAAGGUCAGAAUAAUUAGGCUAUGGGAUGCCAUUGAUCUCAACAACAAUGAACUUAUUAGCCUUGACAUGAUACUACUUGAUGAAGAGGGUACUAUGAUACAUGGCAAGGUAAUGAAGCAUAUGGUUAACAAGUUCAGACCAUUGAUCCAAGAAGGUUUAGUCUACAUGAUAGCAAAUUUUAAGGUUAUGUCUGCAAUGAAUUUCCGUCCAGUUGAAAGCGAAAAGGUUCUAAAUUUCUUGCACACGGCAAAAAAUCAAGAGAUAAAAGGUCAAAAAAUAUCAAAAUAG
RNAcentral lists this ribosomal RNA (342 nucleotides) under Triticum aestivum (bread wheat). RNAcentral's name for it is "partial small subunit ribosomal RNA". Lineage: Eukaryota; Viridiplantae; Streptophyta; Magnoliopsida; Poales; Poaceae. The record is from RNAcentral.